UACGGAAGGCAGCAGUGGGGAAUAUUGCACAAUGGGCGAAAGCCUGAUGCAGCUAUGCCGCGUGUAUGAAGAAGGCCUUAGGGUUGUAAAGUACUUUCAUCGGGGAGGAAAAAACAAAACUAAUAAUUUUAUUUCUUGACGUUACCCGAAAAAGAAGCACCGGCUAACUCCGUGCCAGCAGCCGCGGUAAUACGGAGGGUGCUAGCGUUAAUCAGAAUUACUGGGCGUAAAGAGCACGUAGGUGGUUUUUUUAAAGUCAGAUGUGAAAUCCCUGGGCUUAACCUAAGAACUGCAUUUUGAAACUGAAAUACUAGAGUAUCGUAGAGGGAGGUAGAAUUCUAGGUGUAGCGGUGAAAUGCGUAGAUAUCUGGAGGAAUACCUGUGGCGAAAGCGGCCUCCUAAACGAAUACUGACACUGAGGGUGCGAAAGCGUGGGGAGCAAACAGGGAUUAGAUACC
Molecule: ribosomal RNA, 458 nt
Filed under: uncultured bacterium
Lineage: Bacteria
Description: bacterial SSU rRNA
Rfam family: Bacterial small subunit ribosomal RNA
Source: RNAcentral